RNAcentral lists this ribosomal RNA (435 nucleotides) under uncultured bacterium. RNAcentral's name for it is "bacterial SSU rRNA". It matches the Rfam family "Bacterial small subunit ribosomal RNA", at positions 954 to 1392 of the family's 1533-position model. The record is from RNAcentral.
GCAAAACGCGAAGAACCUUACCAGAACUUGACAUCUCCUGCAUUACCCGUAAUUGGGGAAGUCCUUCGGGACAGGAAGACAGGUGGUGCAUGGUUGUCGUCAGCUCGUGUCGUGAGAUGUUGGGUUAAGUCCCGCAACGAGCGCAACCCUUAUUGUUAGUUGCCAUCAUUUAGUUGAGCACUCUAAUGAGACUGCCGGGGACAACUCGGAGGAAGGUGGGGAUGACGUCAAAUCAUCAUGCCCCUUAUGUUCUGGGCUACACACGUGCUACAAUGGGCGCAACAACGGGAAGCAAGCUAGUGAUAGUGAGCAAAUCCCUAAAAAUCGCUCUCAGUUCAGAUUGUAGGCUGAAACUCGCCUACAUGAAGGCGGAGUUGCUAGUAAUCGCGGAUCAGCAUGCCGCGGUGAAUACGUUCCCGGGUCUUGUACACACCG